This 501-nucleotide ribosomal RNA is filed under the name uncultured bacterium. RNAcentral describes it as "bacterial SSU rRNA". It matches the Rfam family "Bacterial small subunit ribosomal RNA", at positions 899 to 1397 of the family's 1533-position model. The record is from RNAcentral.
ACUCAAAUGAAUUGACGGGAGCCCGCACAAGCAGUGGAGUAUGUUGUUUAAUUCGAUGCAACGCGAAGAACCUUACCAGGUCUUGACAUCCACGGAAGACGGCGUAAUGGCUGUUGUGCCCUUAGGGGAGCCGUGAGACAGGUAGUGCAUGGUUGUCGUCAGCUCGUGUCGUGAGAUGUUGGGUUAAGUCCCGCAACGAGCGCAACCCUUACGGAUAGUUGCUAGUCCCGAUUGGGAAAGCACUCUAUUCGGACUGCCGUUGACAAAACGGAGGAAGGUGGGGAUGAUGUCAAAUCAUCAUGCUCUUUAUGAUCUGGGCUACAAACGUACUACAAUGGCGCGAACAAAGGGGAGCGAAGCCGCGAGGCGGAGCAAAUCCCAAAAACGCGUCCCAGUUCGGAUUGCAGGCUGCAACCCGCCUGCAUGAAGUCGGAAUUGCUAGUAAUCGCGGGUCAGCAUACCGCGGUGAAUACGUUCCCGGGCUUUGUACACACCGCCCGU